This is a long non-coding RNA of Carassius gibelio (silver crucian carp), 296 nucleotides long. RefSeq lists it as uncharacterized. The record is from RefSeq and is a predicted model, not a curated record. The transcript is spliced from 2 exons. Lineage: Eukaryota; Metazoa; Chordata; Actinopteri; Cypriniformes; Cyprinidae.
UUAUAAAAACAAACUUGAUGGGACAAAUUUGCAAACCUGGAUGCAAACUCUGACCCAUGAAUAAGUACUGUGCUGUUACUUAUGUCUAGAAGUGUUUCUUUUCCGCCUCCUACUGGACAUUUAAGGUACUGCACUGUAUUUGCCGUUUACUUUCGGUUUCUCUCAGUGAAUGCAGUCGGGAAGAACGUUCAUACAGUUCCUAUGGGCUAUUGAUUCCAUCGUUAAAACCUUGGAAAUAUAUGUCUUUUUACAUAAAAGAAGUGAGAAGAACAAUCACCAGUAAAGUCACUAAAGUU